CUAAAAGUUCAAACAUUUUAUAAUGUUUUUAAUUUAACAAGGCAAGUCAGUUAAGAACAAAUUCUUAUUUACAAUGACCGCCUACCAAAAGGCCACAUGCGGGGACGGGGGCCUGGGAUUAAAAAUAUAAAUACAAUAUAAAUAUAGGACAAAACACACAUCACAACAAGAGAGACAACACUACAUCAAGAGAGACUUAAGACAACAUAACAAGGUAGCAACACAACAUGCUAUCAACAUGGUACAAACCUUAUUGGGCACAGUCAACAGUACUAAGGUCAAGGUAGAGACAAUACAUCAUACAAAGCAGCCACAACUGUCAGUAAGUGUCCAUGAUUGAGUCUUUGAAUGAAGAGAUUGAGAUAAAACUGUCCAGUUUGAGUGUUUGUUGCAGCUCGUUCCAGUCGCUAGCUGCAGCGAACUGAGAAGAGGAGCGACCCAGGGAUGUGUGCUUUGGGGACUUUUAACAGAAUGUGACUGGCAGAACGGGUGUUGUAUGUGGAGGAUCAGGGUUGUAGUAGAUAUCUCAGAUAGAGGGGAGUGAGGCCUAAGAGGGUUUUAUAAAUAAGCAUCAAUCAGUGGGUCUUGCGACGGGUAUACAGAGAUGACCAGUUUACAGUGGAGUAGAGUGCAGUGAUGUGUCCUAUAAGGAGCAUUGGUGGCAAAUCUGAUGGCCGAAUGGUAAAAAAACAUCUAGCCGCUCGAGAGCACCCUUACCUAACAAUCUAUAAAUGAUGUCUCCGUAAUCUAGCAUGGGUAGGAUGGUCAUCUGAAAUCACGGUUAGUUUGGCAGCUGGGCUGAAAGAGGAGCGAUUACGAUAGAGGAAACCAAGUCUAGAUGUAGUAACUUUAGCCUGCAGCUUUGAUAUGUGCAGAGAGAAGGACAGUGCACCAUCUAGCCAUACUCCCAAGUACUUGUAUGCGGUGACUACCUCAAGCUCUAAACCCUCAGAGGUAGUAAAAACACCUGUGGGAAGAGGGGCAUUCUUCUUACCAAACCACAUGACCUUUGUUUUGGAGGUGUUCAGAACAAGGUUAAGGGUAGAGAAAGCUUGUUGGACACUAAGAAUGCUUUGUUGUAGAGCAUUUAACACAAAAUCCAGGGAGGGGCCAGCUGAGUAUAAGACUGUAUCAUCUGCAUAUAAAUGGAUGAGAGAGCUUCCUACUGCCUGAGCUAUGUUGUUGAUGUAAAUUGAGAAGAGCGUGGGGCCUAGGAUUGAGCCUUGGGUUACUUCCUUGGUGACAGGCAGUAGCUGAGACAGCAGAUUUUCUGAGAUAGUUAGCAAACCAGGCCAAAGACCCCUCAGAGACACCAAUACUCCUUAGCCAGCCCACAAUAAUUUGAAUGGUCUACCAUAUCAAAAGCUUUGGCCAAGUCAAUAGAAAUAGCAGCACAAUAUUGCUUCGAUACAAGGGCAAUUGUGACAUCAUUGAAGACCUAUAAGGUUGCGUUGCCACAUCCAUAACCUGAGCAGAAACCAGAUUGCAUACCCAAGAGAAUACUCGUUUUCCCAACACUUUUGAUAAACAAGGCAAAAUAGAAAUAGGCCUAUAACAGUUAGGAUCAGCUUGAUCUCCCCCUUUAAAUAAAGGACAAACUGUCGCUGCCUUCCAAGCAAUGGAAACCUCCCCAGAAAGGAGACAGGUUUAAAAGGUCGGAGUUAGGCUUUGCGAUGAUGGGGGCAGCAACCUUAAAGAAGAAAGGGUCUAAACCAUCUGACCCAGAUGUUUUUUGGGGGUCAAAUUUAAAGAGCUCCUUUAGCACCUCGGACUCAGUGACUGCCUGCAGGGAGAAACUUUGUAGCGGGGCAGGGGUAAAAGAGGGAGAAGCAUCAGGGAUAGUCGCAUUAGAAGGGGUGGGAGAUGAGGAAAUGUUGGAUGGGCAAGGAGGCAUGGCUGAGUCAAAUAGGAAUCCUGACUUAAUGAAGUGGUGAUUAAAGAGCUCAGCCAUGUGCUUCUUGUCAGUUACAAUCACAUCAUCAACAUUAAGGGACAAGGGCAGCUGUGAAGAGGGUUUAUUCUCCAGGUCUUUAUCCAUUUUCCAGAACUUCUUGGGGUUAGACCCAGAGAGAGAGAAGUGCUCCUUAAAGUAACGAACUUUGGCCUUCCGGAUAGCCUGAGUGGGCUUAUUUCUCAUUUGCCUGAACGAUAGCCAGUCAGCCUGAGUAUGCGUGUGCCUUUCGCCAAAUGCAAUUCUUGAGGUGGAGUAACGCUACAAGAUCACGGUCAAACCAGGGUCUGAACCUGUUUUUAAUUCUCAUUUUCUUUAUGGGUGCGUGUUCAAUACCACAGAAAAUAUUUUAAAAAGUAGGGCCAAGCGUCUUCGACAUGAUUACAUUUAAGUUAAUGUUCUUGCAAUGUUCUCUAACUGGUUUGCCAUUGGGAUUGUACUCAAAUAGUCCGGAAAACGUUAAACGUUUUUCUGUGUGAAUUUCAGUAAUUCAGCAUAACGUUUUUUACAAGUUUCCUCAUGGUUCUAUUUAAAGUCAUGUUCUCAGAACGUUCAGAAACAAUGUUUUUCAGCAUAAUGUUUUCUACAGGUUUCCUGAUGGGUCUAUUUAAAGUCAUGUUCUCAGAACGUUCAGAGAACGUUAACAUUCUUCUGUGGUAAUUUCAGUACGUCAUCAUAACGUUUUCUGCAGGUUUCCUAAUGGUUCUAUUUAAAGUCAUGUUCUCAGAACGUUCAGAAACAACAUUCUUCUGUGGGAAUUUCAGUACUUCAUAACAUUUUCUGCAGGUUUCCUCAUGGUUCUAUUUAAAGUCAUGUUCUCAGAACAUUAGGAAAACUUUCCAUAAAAAAAAACAAGAAAACAUUAGUAACAUUCAGAGAACGUGCUAAGAAUGUUAUUUAAAAUAUAUACAUUCCGUUCUGACUCAACAAAACUCUACUAUGGAGCGAUUUCAGUGCCAACGUGUUUGAAUUUCAUAAUUUUUCAUUUUAUUAGAAUUCAUGAUUUGAAAUGGAAUUGAGUGAAUAUUGUAUUCCGUUUUAAAAUUCAAUUUAAUUCAAUAUGUAUGUAUUCAGUUUCAGUAUGGUAGAUAUUGCAUUCAUUGUCUGUGUAUCAAGUUUACAAACUAUAAUUUUAAGUUGAUCAAAAUUUCACAUAUUCAACUUCUCAGAUGCAUUGAGAUUCCGUUUUCAAGUCCAGUUCUUUAAAUUCAGAUUCAAAACCAUUGAGCUAUAAUAAGAACUAGACAGCCUCCAAGAUGGUCGGAUGUUUUUUUUCAAUGUAAUCUACUGACGGUUGCAUAUACCGGAUUCGUGGGCGCUGACAUCUUGCUAGUUCAGGUUUGAGGAGCCAAUUAGUACAUGGGCACUAGCACUGCAGCACAACAAGCGUGAACGUGCAUUCCAGCAUGAGCUAACAGCAGGGUCGUGGAUCUGGAUUACUGGGGGAGGGGAAAUAUGGUGGCACAAAGCACCACGCACACAACCACUGGAAACAUGAACAACAUUUUGUGUAUGCAACACCCUGGGUUGACGCAGGAGAAGACUAGUGAGCUUCAGCGGGACCUCCUGAUGGGCGAGCAUGACAUACAGGAGGAGUGGGAUGGGAGUCCACAGACAGCUCAGUGACCUCAUUGUGACAGUAGGAGCAGACACACAGGGACACUACAACACGGAACAUUUAAUUCCCCCCAGAAAUCUCCGGGAACUUGCAGAAGGAGCGGGCACUCCGCACCACGCGCCUCAGGACAAGACAUGUGACUUGCUUUGCUCUCCGGAGCAGAGCGCCAUUGAAAGGAUUGAUAACUGGAGUGGCGUUAAGUGUUGAGGAGGACAAACUGAAAUGGAAGAUUCCUGGUGUCUGUGACGGCCGCCGUUUGCUGCGACUCAGACCCAGUGGAGAGCGUGGUGAAACACAGAAGAUACUGUCUGCUAAGUUUUGAUGCAAAGUCUUUACCUGACAACGUCAAGUUAGGAUUUGUCAGUUAUCCCGUGAGACUUUUUGUCCCGAAUCAAUUACAGUGUUUUCAUUUCAAGUUGUAUUAGUUGUAUGCAGGGGAUACACAGCAGGUCCGUUCUCGACCAUGCAACAUCUAUUGGUAGAUGGGUAUGAAUUUAAAAAAAACACAUUGAAUAUCCCUUUGAGCAUGGUGAAGUUAUUAAUUGCACUUUGGAUGGUGUAUCAAUACACCCAGUCACUACAAAGAUACGGGCGUCCUUCCUAACUCAGUUGCUGGAGAGGAAGGAAACCACUCAGGGAUUUCACCAUGAGCCCAAUGGUGACUUUAAAACAGUUACAGAGUUUAAUGGCUGUGAUAGGAGAAAACUGAGGAUGGAUCAACAACCUUGUAGUUACUCUACAAUACUAACCUAAUCGACAGAGUGAAAAGAAUUGUACAGAAUAAAAAAAAUCCAAAGCAUGCAUCCUGUUUACAAUAAGGCACUAAAGUAAUACUGCAAAAAAUUUGUCAAAAAAUGGGGCAAAUCCAUCAAAACACAUCACUGAGUAUCACACUUCAUAUUUUCAAGCAUGGUGGUGGCUGCAUCAUGUUAUGGGUCUGCUUGUCAUCAGCAAGGACUAUGGAAAUAUCCUAGAGGAAAACCUAGUUCAGUCUGCUUUCUAACAGACACUGGAAGACAAAUUCAGCUUUGAGCAGGACAAUAACCUAAAACAAGGCCAAAUAUACACUGGAAUUGCUUACCAAGACAACAUUGAAUGUUCCUGGGUGGCCUAGUUACAGUUUUCACUUAUUAAAUCAGCUUGAAAAUAUAUAGCAAGACUUGAAAAUGGCUGUCUAGCAAUGAUCAACAACCAACUUGAUAGAGUUUGGUGUGCAAAACACUUAGAUACUUACCCAGAAAGAGUCACAGCUGUGAUCGCUGCCAAAGGUGAUUCUAACAUGUGUUGACUCAGGGGGUUGAAUACUUACAUAAUCAAGAUACUGUAUUUUAGUGUUUUAUUUUUUAUUUAAUCUUUACAAAUGUAUAGAUUGCUGACUUUGUAACACAACAAAAUGUGGAAAAAGUCAAGGGGUGUGAGUACUUCCUGAAGGCACUGUAGGGCCAAGUAGUGGAAUAGUGGUUAGAUUUUAAUGGGUGUAGGAUUUUUCUUACCUUUUCCCUUCCCUUUUGUGUCACUAGCUAGGUUUCCAUCCAAUUCGCAACAGAUUUUCAUGCAAAUAUUCUAAAAUCUGCAAAAAACAAUAUGCGCAUUUUCCCACCAGCGAUGUGUUUCCAUCAAACAGACUUUUUACUGAUAAAAGGCUGUACGUCAUGACGCAGUGCACAUAAAAAUAACUUUUGCUGGUUCAAUUCCCAUGUACCAAAUUAAAAAUACAAGUUAAAUGUGUUUCCAUCGCAUUUUCAGCUCUACUGUCACAAAAACUGUUGUGUUUUAUAGCAAAUGUGCUCUGGUUUUGGCACCUGUGCUCUAGCCAAUAGCUCGCAAAUACAGUGCAGGUAGGUUACCUAUAUAGAGGUGGCAGCGUAGCCUAGUGGUUCGAGCGUUGAACUAGUAACCGAAAGGUUGACAAGAUCAAAUCCCCAAGCUGACAAGGUACAAAUCUGCUGUUCUGCCCCUGAACAAGGCAGUUAACCCACUGAUCCUAGGCUGUCAUUGAAAAUAAGAAUUUGUUCUUAACUGACUUGCCUAGUUAAAUAGAAAAUUAUGAGAUUAUUUGUAUUUGUCAAACGGCAGCCAGGCAUCGAUCAUCAUGUCACCAGAAUAAGACCCUCGGUAUUUAUUGGAAUGGAGCAUCAAGCUCAU
This 5714-nucleotide long non-coding RNA is filed under the name Salmo salar (Atlantic salmon). Its description in RNAcentral is "lncRNA (ENSSSAG00000109635.1)". The record is from RNAcentral. Lineage: Eukaryota; Metazoa; Chordata; Actinopteri; Salmoniformes; Salmonidae.